AGCCCCCUAUCCUCUCUAUCCACCAUUCGACCCUACCCACCACGAUGGGUAGGAAUUUUAAAUCCUUAUCUUACCCAUAUGAGUGGUGGAUAGUACCAUACCCUAUCCAUAAUCCACUAAAGUAAAUACAUAAUGCAAGCACCACAGAUCAAACAUAUUUCAAAUUUAUUAAGUUUCACACCUAUUUUAAAUCACUUAAGUUCUAAAAUCUAUUUCAACCAUCAAUCUAUAUAAUACAAACAGAUACAUACUAUAGCAAGUCAUUCUCUAAUUCUCCAAUAACAAAUAAGAGAACAAAUAAAAAGAAUCAAAUAAAAUAAGUCCCUAAC
Molecule: long non-coding RNA, 329 nt
Filed under: Elaeis guineensis (African oil palm)
Lineage: Eukaryota; Viridiplantae; Streptophyta; Magnoliopsida; Arecales; Arecaceae
Description: long non-coding RNA (EGUI_LNC080510)
Source: RNAcentral